AGGAACAAAGGGCUCAUUGUCAUGCAAAUGAACGACUCCGGAGGAAGAGGGCGGUUCCUCCACUCUGGGGUGCCCCUCCUGCCCUCUAACUUCUAAGCCACACUGGAAACCGACCCCCAACCUUCAGAAGUGUGGGCAUCUCUGGGCCUCUGCUCUGGGCUAAAUGAGGCGCACUCUCUCAGCCUGGGAAAUGGGCCCCUGCCAGUUCUGAGCCAGAUCCCCAGAAAACAGGACCCGCCUCGGAAGAUAGGGAUAGUAGAGGGACUUUUGGGGAUGAAACAGGAUGAUCCCCUUAACAUGCUAAGCAUGACCUUGAGCAAAGAAGCAACUGCCUUGGAAAUGCCAUUCACUUGGUAAUACUGCAGGCCUGCAGCUGUGUGUCUUUGAGCAAGCUGCCUACCCUCUCCGUGCCUUAUCAGGAGAGGGUGACUCUGUGCCGACUUUACAAGGCUAUGGGAAGGACACAAUGAACUAAGUGCCUGCUACAUACCCAGUGCUGGGGACACAGCGGUGACAAAGAUGAACAAAAUCCUGGAUGGAGGGGUGCUGGAGUGUGAAUGUUUAUGUCCCCCCAAAAUCUGCAUGUUGAGACCUAAUCACCACGGGAUGAUGUCAGAGCGUGGGGCUUCUGGGAGGUGAUGAGCUGUCAUGAGUGGGAUUGGUGCCCCCGGAAAGCCGCCCUGCCCCUCUUCCUGGGAGAAGCCACCAUCUAUGAACCAGGAAACGGGCCCUCCUCCCAUGUGACACCAAAUCUGCCAGCAUCUUGGUCUUGGACAUCCAGCCUCCAGAACUGUGAGCAAUAAAGUUCUAGUGUUUGUGAGCCACCCAGUCCAAAUAGACUAAAACAAGGUGGGGACAGGGGUGAUGGGCAUACCGCAGACCCUGGUGGUGACAGUGUUACAAGGAGCAGUGAAGGUGUCACAGGGAGUCACAACCCGACAUCAGGCCUCUCUCAGGAGGUGCCAUUAGCAGAGGCCUAUAUCAGGGAGGCUGAAGAUCUCAGGAAAGGGUGUUCCCAGAAGAGGUUACAGCCAGGCCGGGUGUGGUGGCUCAUGCCUGUAAUCCUAGCACUUUGGGAGGCCGAGGCGGGUGGAUCACUUGAGGUCAGGAGUUCAAGACCAGACUGGCUAACAUGGCAAAACCCUGUCUCCACUCAAAAUACAAAAAUUAGGCAUGGUGGCAUGCGCCUGUAGUCCCAGCUACUCAGGAGGCAGGAGAAUCGCUUGAACCUGAAAGAAAGGUGGCCACAGCUCUGCACUCCAGCCUGGGGGAGUGAGACUUUG
Molecule: long non-coding RNA, 1283 nt
Filed under: Pan troglodytes (chimpanzee)
Lineage: Eukaryota; Metazoa; Chordata; Mammalia; Primates; Hominidae
Description: lincRNA
Source: RNAcentral